CAACGGUAGGUCAGCAUGCCCCGAAUUAUCUGGGCUACACGCGGGCUACAAUGGGUGGGACAAUGGGUAUCGACACCGAAAGGUGAAGGCAAUCUCCUAAACCCAUCCGUAAGUUCGGAUUGUGGGCUGCAACUCGCCCACAUGAAGCUGGAAUCUGUAGUAAUCGUGUCUCAAAAUGGCACGGUGAAUAUGUCCCUGCCGUCCUU
RNAcentral lists this ribosomal RNA (206 nucleotides) under uncultured Methanomicrobiales archaeon. RNAcentral describes it as "partial 16S ribosomal RNA". It matches the Rfam family "Archaeal small subunit ribosomal RNA", at positions 1136 to 1334 of the family's 1478-position model. Lineage: Archaea; Methanobacteriati; Methanobacteriota; Methanomicrobia; Methanomicrobiales. The record is from RNAcentral.